This 1441-nucleotide long non-coding RNA is filed under the name Sus scrofa (pig). RNAcentral describes it as "lncRNA (ENSSSCG00025007399.1)". Lineage: Eukaryota; Metazoa; Chordata; Mammalia; Artiodactyla; Suidae. The record is from RNAcentral.
GUUGGAGAGGCUGGGAGAGGAGAGGGAGGUGACUGGGGAGGAGAGGGCAGGGACCGGGGAGAGAGGAGGAAUGGGGCGGGCCAGCGGGACUGCAGGGGGCGGGCCUGCCUUGCGAGCGCCCGAGUCCUCUUCGCAGAGCCCCUUUGGGCUCUCAGCGCCCCCUCCCUCCUGCUCAAGGUCACGGCUGCAGCUCAGGGUCCGGAAGAGUCGGACUGGGAACCAGGUCUCCCGAGUCUCAUAAUCCCCGCUCGAGAUGGGCUGUGUCUCUUGAGCCACCUCCUUCUCCCCAAACUCCUAAACUCACCGCAGCUUAGGGCUAUUUUGGGAUUUCUGAGUCCCUUUGGGAUCUCUGAGUCCCUCUCCUCCUCUUCUUUCUCCUCUUCGCAAGGCCACUUCUACCUGUAGUUGUCACCUGGAGGAAGGGGUUUCUGAGCCUAAAGGGUUGGUGAGGAAGAGGAGGAUCUUCGGGAGAGUUAAAGGUGCCUAUGGCAAGUGAGAGAACAGGAUGGGGGCGUGGGAGAGGGACAGGGAGGUUGCGGGGAAGGAAGAGGGUCUGGAAGGAGUGGAGAUGAGCAUAUUACAUGACAAAGGUUUCCACACAUGCUAGUCUCUUAAUGCUUGGGACAGCCCUUUAAGGUGGGUAUGAGGGCAGUUUGCAGGGAGGAAACAGCCUCCGAAUGGGACUUUGGCCAAGGAGCCAGAGUUAGUUGUGGCAUCCAAGGGGCAGGGAUGGCAAAUACCAAGUGGAGCUCUCCCUCCCUUCCUAACCCACCCAGAAGCUGCUAGGGCAGUGGGAGGAGGGACAGGCCACCCAGAGUUCCUGGCAGCACAAUUUGAAUAUUCACAAACCCUUUUGGAGUCAAGAUUAUAACAGGACUGCAGCUCCUGCCUCCCUCCCGUGGAUGCUGGGAAAGACUCCUGCCGGGAUGCCCUGACCUGCCAAAGAGGGAAAAUGCAAAAGGAGGGGAAGCAAAGACAAAGAGAGAAUCAAGCUGACAAUGGUCAUCGGGCUUCUCAGGACCUGCUGCUUCAUGCAAAGGGCUCAGGUCACCCCUCCCUGCUGACAGUGAAUCUGCAGGAUGCAGGCCAGAGAGCGGGCUGCAGUCUCCUGGCACAGAACCCAGUCAGGCUAACUGGGCCACCUCGCCACCCACCACUCCAGUCAAAAGCCCUUAUCACCUGCUGGCCUCGCUUCUCCUAGCAAGCCUGGGAACCCAGGGGCAGAAGCUAGCUUGCUUCCCAGACUAUUUAGAGUUAAGGCUGCAGUUUGGUUAAAGAAAAACAUAGUGGCUCUAGCUUCAGCCUUAAUGUUCAUUUCAUUCAUCAGAACCAGUAGCGUGGAUUACAACCUCAUCAGGAGCUCAAUGCCCCUCGUGCCCAUCUCCCCAGGCUCAGGAGCUGGAAAUGGAAAGGACCCCACCUAUUAGAUGUUUUUCUUUUC